UACCAGGUAAUGCUGGGCGACUCUGGUGAGACUGCCCGGUUAACGGGGAGGAAGGUGGGGACGACGUCAAGUCAUCAUGGCCCUUACGCCUAGGGCUACACACGUACUACAAUGGCGCAUACAAAGGGCAGCGAUACCGCGAGGUGGAGCCAAUCCCAAAAAGUGCGUCCCAGUCCGGAUUGCAGUCUGCAACUCGACUGCAUGAAGUUGGAAUCGCUAGUAAUUCGAGAUCAGCAUGCUCGGGUGAAUGCGUUCCCGGGCCUU
RNAcentral lists this ribosomal RNA (264 nucleotides) under uncultured Desulfovibrio sp. RNAcentral's name for it is "partial 16S ribosomal RNA". It matches the Rfam family "Bacterial small subunit ribosomal RNA", at positions 1119 to 1382 of the family's 1533-position model. Lineage: Bacteria; Pseudomonadati; Thermodesulfobacteriota; Desulfovibrionia; Desulfovibrionales; Desulfovibrionaceae. The record is from RNAcentral.